UGGGCUUGACCUAAAGGCCUGGCCGGGGCUUUCAGAGUUAUCAGUUCUGCACUGGGCUUUGCAUGACCCUUGGCUAAUCUCUUAUCUCUGUGCCUCAAUUCUCUGUCUGGGUGAGG
This is a non-coding RNA of Tinamus guttatus (white-throated tinamou), 116 nucleotides long. Lineage: Eukaryota; Metazoa; Chordata; Aves; Tinamiformes; Tinamidae. The record is from RefSeq and is a predicted model, not a curated record.